This 253-nucleotide ribosomal RNA is filed under the name uncultured bacterium. Its description in RNAcentral is "partial 16S ribosomal RNA". It matches the Rfam family "Bacterial small subunit ribosomal RNA", at positions 524 to 776 of the family's 1533-position model. The record is from RNAcentral.
UACGUAGGGUGCAAGCGUUAAUCGGAAUUACUGGGCGUAAAGCGUGCGCAGGCGGUUAUGCAAGACAGAGGUGAAAUCCCCGGGCUCAACCUGGGAACUGCCUUUGUGACUGCAUAGCUAGAGUACGGUAGAGGGGGAUGGAAUUCCGCGUGUAGCAGUGAAAUGCGUAGAUAUGCGGAGGGACACCGAUGGCGAAGGCAAUCCCCUGGACCUGUACUGACGCUCAUGCACGAAAGCGUGGGGAGCAAACAGG